Molecule: ribosomal RNA, 2778 nt
Filed under: Staphylococcus aureus
Lineage: Bacteria; Bacillati; Bacillota; Bacilli; Caryophanales; Staphylococcaceae
Description: bacterial LSU rRNA
Rfam family: Bacterial large subunit ribosomal RNA
Source: RNAcentral
GAAGGACGUUACUAACGACGAUAUGCUUUGGGGAGCUGUAAGUAAGCUUUGAUCCAGAGAUUUCCGAAUGGGGAAACCCAGCAUGAGUUAUGUCAUGUUAUCGAUAUGUGAAUACAUAGCAUAUCAGAAGGCACACCCGGAGAACUGAAACAUCUUAGUACCCGGAGGAAGAGAAAGAAAAUUCGAUUCCCUUAGUAGCGGCGAGCGAAACGGGAAGAGCCCAAACCAACAAGCUUGCUUGUUGGGGUUGUAGGACACUCUAUACGGAGUUACAAAGGACGACAUUAGACGAAUCAUCUGGAAAGAUGAAUCAAAGAAGGUAAUAAUCCUGUAGUCGAAAAUGUUGUCUCUCUUGAGUGGAUCCUGAGUACGACGGAGCACGUGAAAUUCCGUCGGAAUCUGGGAGGACCAUCUCCUAAGGCUAAAUACUCUCUAGUGACCGAUAGUGAACCAGUACCGUGAGGGAAAGGUGAAAAGCACCCCGGAAGGGGAGUGAAAUAGAACCUGAAACCGUGUGCUUACAAGUAGUCAGAGCCCGUUAAUGGGUGAUGGCGUGCCUUUUGUAGAAUGAACCGGCGAGUUACGAUUUGAUGCAAGGUUAAGCAGUAAAUGUGGAGCCGUAGCGAAAGCGAGUCUGAAUAGGGCGUUUAGUAUUUGGUCGUAGACCCGAAACCAGGUGAUCUACCCUUGGUCAGGUUGAAGUUCAGGUAACACUGAAUGGAGGACCGAACCGACUUACGUUGAAAAGUGAGCGGAUGAACUGAGGGUAGCGGAGAAAUUCCAAUCGAACCUGGAGAUAGCUGGUUCUCUCCGAAAUAGCUUUAGGGCUAGCCUCAAGUGAUGAUUAUUGGAGGUAGAGCACUGUUUGGACGAGGGGCCCCUCUCGGGUUACCGAAUUCAGACAAACUCCGAAUGCCAAUUAAUUUAACUUGGGAGUCAGAACAUGGGUGAUAAGGUCCGUGUUCGAAAGGGAAACAGCCCAGACCACCAGCUAAGGUCCCAAAAUAUAUGUUAAGUGGAAAAGGAUGUGGCGUUGCCCAGACAACUAGGAUGUUGGCUUAGAAGCAGCCAUCAUUUAAAGAGUGCGUAAUAGCUCACUAGUCGAGUGACACUGCGCCGAAAAUGUACCGGGGCUAAACAUAUUACCGAAGCUGUGGAUUGUCCUUUGGACAAUGGUAGGAGAGCGUUCUAAGGGCGUUGAAGCAUGAUCGUAAGGACAUGUGGAGCGCUUAGAAGUGAGAAUGCCGGUGUGAGUAGCGAAAGACGGGUGAGAAUCCCGUCCACCGAUUGACUAAGGUUUCCAGAGGAAGGCUCGUCCGCUCUGGGUUAGUCGGGUCCUAAGCUGAGGCCGACAGGCGUAGGCGAUGGAUAACAGGUUGAUAUUCCUGUACCACCUAUAAUCGUUUUAAUCGAUGGGGGGACGCAGUAGGAUAGGCGAAGCGUGCGAUUGGAUUGCACGUCUAAGCAGUAAGGCUGAGUAUUAGGCAAAUCCGGUACUCGUUAAGGCUGAGCUGUGAUGGGGAGAAGACAUUGUGUCUUCGAGUCGUUGAUUUCACACUGCCGAGAAAAGCCUCUAGAUAGAAAAUAGGUGCCCGUACCGCAAACCGACACAGGUAGUCAAGAUGAGAAUUCUAAGGUGAGCGAGCGAACUCUCGUUAAGGAACUCGGCAAAAUGACCCCGUAACUUCGGGAGAAGGGGUGCUCUUUAGGGUUAACGCCCAGAAGAGCCGCAGUGAAUAGGCCCAAGCGACUGUUUAUCAAAAACACAGGUCUCUGCUAAACCGUAAGGUGAUGUAUAGGGGCUGACGCCUGCCCGGUGCUGGAAGGUUAAGAGGAGUGGUUAGCUUCUGCGAAGCUACGAAUCGAAGCCCCAGUAAACGGCGGCCGUAACUAUAACGGUCCUAAGGUAGCGAAAUUCCUUGUCGGGUAAGUUCCGACCCGCACGAAAGGCGUAACGAUUUGGGCACUGUCUCAACGAGAGACUCGGUGAAAUCAUAGUACCUGUGAAGAUGCAGGUUACCCGCGACAGGACGGAAAGACCCCGUGGAGCUUUACUGUAGCCUGAUAUUGAAAUUCGGCACAGCUUGUACAGGAUAGGUAGGAGCCUUUGAAACGUGAGCGCUAGCUUACGUGGAGGCGCUGGUGGGAUACUACCCUAGCUGUGUUGGCUUUCUAACCCGCACCACUUAUCGUGGUGGGAGACAGUGUCAGGCGGGCAGUUUGACUGGGGCGGUCGCCUCCUAAAAGGUAACGGAGGCGCUCAAAGGUUCCCUCAGAAUGGUUGGAAAUCAUUCAUAGAGUGUAAAGGCAUAAGGGAGCUUGACUGCGAGACCUACAAGUCGAGCAGGGUCGAAAGACGGACUUAGUGAUCCGGUGGUUCCGCAUGGAAGGGCCAUCGCUCAACGGAUAAAAGCUACCCCGGGGAUAACAGGCUUAUCUCCCCCAAGAGUUCACAUCGACGGGGAGGUUUGGCACCUCGAUGUCGGCUCAUCGCAUCCUGGGGCUGUAGUCGGUCCCAAGGGUUGGGCUGUUCGCCCAUUAAAGCGGUACGCGAGCUGGGUUCAGAACGUCGUGAGACAGUUCGGUCCCUAUCCGUCGUGGGCGUAGGAAAUUUGAGAGGAGCUGUCCUUAGUACGAGAGGACCGGGAUGGACAUACCUCUGGUGUACCAGUUGUCGUGCCAACGGCAUAGCUGGGUAGCUAUGUGUGGACGGGAUAAGUGCUGAAAGCAUCUAAGCAUGAAGCCCCCCUCAAGAUGAGAUUUCCCAACUUCGGUUAU